Molecule: ribosomal RNA, 253 nt
Filed under: uncultured bacterium
Lineage: Bacteria
Description: partial 16S ribosomal RNA
Rfam family: Bacterial small subunit ribosomal RNA
Source: RNAcentral
UACGUAGGGUGCAAGCGUUAAUCGGAAUUACUGGGCGUAAAGCGUGCGCAGGCGGUUUUGUAAGUCUGACGUGAAAUCCCCGGGCUCAACCUGGGAAUUGCGUUGGAGACUGCAAGGCUAGAAUCUGGCAGAGGGGGGUAGAAUUCCACGUGUAGCAGUGAAGUGCGUAGAGAUGUGGAGGAACACCGAUGGCGAAGGCAGCCCCCUGGGUCAAGAUUGACGCUCAUGCACGAAAGCGUGGGGAGCAAACAGG